Molecule: ribosomal RNA, 1953 nt
Filed under: Strombidium cf. basimorphum
Lineage: Eukaryota; Ciliophora; Spirotrichea; Strombidiidae
Description: LSU rRNA
Rfam family: Eukaryotic large subunit ribosomal RNA
Source: RNAcentral
UUGACUCAUUGAGAGUUGAGGCAGCGCGACGCAAGUUGCAAGUGUUUAGACAAACCAACUUAGGUACAGUAUCUGGGCUCAGGCGGGACCACCCGCUGAACUUAAGCAUAUCACUAAGCGGAGGAAAAGAAACUAACUAGGAUGGCCUCAGUAACGGCGAGUGAAGCGGCCAGAGCUCAAGAUGGAAAUCUCCGUGCAGCGCACGGCGAAUUGUAAUCUAGAGAGUCUAUUCUCAAAGGGAAGUGGCGCAGAAGUGACUUGGAACAGUCCGCCAAAGAGGGUGACAGCCCCGUACGUGGUGCCGCUACCUAACGAGAAGGGCUUCAAAGAGUCGGGUUGUUUUGUAUUGCAGCCCUAAGCGGGAGAUAAACUUCUUCUAAAGCUAAAUAUAUGUGGGAAACCGAUAGCGAACAAGUACUGUGAAGGAAAGAUGAAAAGCACUUUGGAAAGAGAGUCAAAAGACCUGAAACCGUUGAGGAGGAAGCGGUAGAGAUGAAUUCUACGGCGAAGCGCGGGUGGAGCGGCCCAAUCAUGGCGGGAGAGUCGUACGUCAAAGGCGGCCUUUUGUCCAAGAGGAAGCUGGUUUAUUUGCGCGGCGUUGUGAGGCCGGAUGAAGUGACGUGAUCACAAAGACCUGGCAGGAGUGGGGUGAUUCGUUAUCCAGCCUGUUAGAGUCGGUGGACGCGUGGCUUGAGGGUGCCUUGUGCGAUCCGGUCAAAAUGGUCUUUACCGACUCGUCUUGAAACACGAACCAAGGAGUCUAACGUACACGCGAGUAUGCUAGUGGAAAAACUAACAUGCGAAAUGAAGGUGAGAGAUGCCAAGCGCAAGCAGCAGCAUCAACCGACCAUGAUUCCCGCAAGGUGAUGAAAGGUUUGAGUAUGAGCGUGUCCGCUAGGACCCGAAAGAUGGUGAACUAUGCCUGCGUAGGGUGAAGCCAGGGGAAGCUCUGGUGGAGGCUCGUAGCGAUACUGACGUGCAAAUCGUUCGUCGAACGUGGGUAUAGGGGCGAAAGACUAAUCGAACCAUCUAGUAGCUGGUUCCCUCCGAAGUUUCCCUCAGGAUAGCUGGGACAAUUGCGCAGUUUUAUUAGGUAAAGCGAAUGAUUAGAGGAAUCGGGGGUUUCAUACUCUCGACCUAUUCUCAAACUUUAAAUUGGUAAGAACCCGGGCCUUUCUUAAGUGAGGCGCCGGGGCUCAAUGCGUGUCCUUAGUGGGCCAUUUUUGGUAAGCAGAACUGGCGAUGAGGGAUGCUCCUAACGUCGAGUUAAGGCGCCAAACUGCGCGCUCAUCAGAAACUACAAAGGGUGUUGGUCCAUCCAGACAGCAGGACGGUGGCCAUGGAAGUUGGAACCCGCUAAGGAGUGUGUAACAACUCACCUGCCGAAUGGACUAGCCCCGAAAAUGGAUGGCGCUUAAGCGCGCGGCCGAUACUCGACCAUCGCCUCGAGAGUGAGGAGGCGAUGAGUAGGAGGGCGUGGGCAUCGUUGCGAAGCCUCUGGCGUGAGCCUGGGUUGAACGGUGUCUAGUGCAGAUCUUGGUGGUAGUAGCAAUUAUUCAAAUGAGAACUUUGAAGGCCGAAGUGGAGAAGGUUUCCGUGAGAACAGCAAUUGGUCACGGGUGACUCGAUCCUAAGACAUGGGGGAAGUCCCUGUUAAGUACGCGCUUGCGUGUAGUCGAAAGGGAAUGAGGUUAAUAUUCCUCAAGCUGGAUGUGGGUGUUGUAUGGCAACAUAAAUGAGCCUGGGAACGCCGGCGCGAGCCUCUGGAAGAGUUCUCUUUUCUUUUUAACAGACUAGCGGCCCUGAAAUGGGAUUAUCCCGAGCUAGGGCGGCAUGUCUGGAAGAGCACCUCGCUUUCCGAGGUGUCAGGUGCGCUCGCGACGGUCCAUGAAAACCCAGGUGAGAUAGUUUCACACCAGGUCGUACCCAUAACCGCAUCAGGUCUCCAAGGUU